Molecule: non-coding RNA, 46 nt
Filed under: Schistosoma margrebowiei
Lineage: Eukaryota; Metazoa; Platyhelminthes; Trematoda; Strigeidida; Schistosomatidae
Source: RNAcentral
GCACUGCUGAGGAGUCCUACAAUAGGACGAAACGGCCGUUCAAUGC